RNAcentral lists this ribosomal RNA (2303 nucleotides) under Escherichia coli. Its description in RNAcentral is "partial 23S ribosomal RNA". It matches the Rfam family "Bacterial large subunit ribosomal RNA", at positions 612 to 2895 of the family's 2925-position model. Lineage: Bacteria; Pseudomonadati; Pseudomonadota; Gammaproteobacteria; Enterobacterales; Enterobacteriaceae. The record is from RNAcentral.
AUAAUGGGUCAGCGACUUAUAUUCUGUAGCAAGGUUAACCGAAUAGGGGAGCCGAAGGGAAACCGAGUCUUAACUGGGCGUUAAGUUGCAGGGUAUAGACCCGAAACCCGGUGAUCUAGCCAUGGGCAGGUUGAAGGUUGGGUAACACUAACUGGAGGACCGAACCGACUAAUGUUGAAAAAUUAGCGGAUGACUUGUGGCUGGGGGUGAAAGGCCAAUCAAACCGGGAGAUAGCUGGUUCUCCCCGAAAGCUAUUUAGGUAGCGCCUCGUGAAUUCAUCUCCGGGGGUAGAGCACUGUUUCGGCAAGGGGGUCAUCCCGACUUACCAACCCGAUGCAAACUGCGAAUACCGGAGAAUGUUAUCACGGGAGACACACGGCGGGUGCUAACGUCCGUCGUGAAGAGGGAAACAACCCAGACCGCCAGCUAAGGUCCCAAAGUCAUGGUUAAGUGGGAAACGAUGUGGGAAGGCCCAGACAGCCAGGAUGUUGGCUUAGAAGCAGCCAUCAUUUAAAGAAAGCGUAAUAGCUCACUGGUCGAGUCGGCCUGCGCGGAAGAUGUAACGGGGCUAAACCAUGCACCGAAGCUGCGGCAGCGACGCUGAUGCGUUGUUGGGUAGGGGAGCGUUCUGUAAGCCUGUGAAGGUGUGCUGUGAGGCAUGCUGGAGGUAUCAGAAGUGCGAAUGCUGACAUAAGUAACGAUAAAGCGGGUGAAAAGCCCGCUCGCCGGAAGACCAAGGGUUCCUGUCCAACGUUAAUCGGGGCAGGGUGAGUCGACCCCUAAGGCGAGGCCGAAAGGCGUAGUCGAUGGGAAACAGGUUAAUAUUCCUGUACUUGGUGUUACUGCGAAGGGGGGACGGAGAAGGCUAUGUUGGCCGGGCGACGGUUGUCCCGGUUUAAGCGUGUAGGCUGGUUUUCCAGGCAAAUCCGGAAAAUCAAGGCUGAGGCGUGAUGACGAGGCACUACGGUGCUGAAGCAACAAAUGCCCUGCUUCCAGGAAAAGCCUCUAAGCAUCAGGUAACAUCAAAUCGUACCCCAAACCGACACAGGUGGUCAGGUAGAGAAUACCAAGGCGCUUGAGAGAACUCGGGUGAAGGAACUAGGCAAAAUGGUGCCGUAACUUCGGGAGAAGGCACGCUGAUAUGUAGGUGAAGUCCCUCGCGGAUGGAGCUGAAAUCAGUCGAAGAUACCAGCUGGCUGCAACUGUUUAUUAAAAACACAGCACUGUGCAAACACGAAAGUGGACGUAUACGGUGUGACGCCUGCCCGGUGCCGGAAGGUUAAUUGAUGGGGUCAGCGCAAGCGAAGCUCUUGAUCGAAGCCCCGGUAAACGGCGGCCGUAACUAUAACGGUCCUAAGGUAGCGAAAUUCCUUGUCGGGUAAGUUCCGACCUGCACGAAUGGCGUAAUGAUGGCCAGGCUGUCUCCACCCGAGACUCAGUGAAAUUGAACUCGCUGUGAAGAUGCAGUGUACCCGCGGCAAGACGGAAAGACCCCGUGAACCUUUACUAUAGCUUGACACUGAACAUUGAGCCUUGAUGUGUAGGAUAGGUGGGAGGCUUUGAAGUGUGGACGCCAGUCUGCAUGGAGCCGGCCUUGAAAUACCACCCUUUAAUGUUUGAUGUUCUAACGUUGACCCGUGAUCCGGGUUGCGGACAGUGUCUGGUGGGUAGUUUGACUGGGGCGGUCUCCUCCUAAAGAGUAACGGAGGAGCACGAAGGUUGGCUAAUCCUGGUCGGACAUCAGGAGGUUAGUGCAAUGGCAUAAGCCAGCUUGACUGCGAGCGUGACGGCGCGAGCAGGUGCGAAAGCAGGUCAUAGUGAUCCGGUGGUUCUGAAUGGAAGGGCCAUCGCUCAACGGAUAAAAGGUACUCCGGGGAUAACAGGCUGAUACCGCCCAAGAGUUCAUAUCGACGGCGGUGUUUGGCACCUCGAUGUCGGCUCAUCACAUCCUGGGGCUGAAGUAGGUCCCAAGGGUAUGGCUGUUCGCCAUUUAAAGUGGUACGCGAGCUGGGUUUAGAACGUCGUGAGACAGUUCGGUCCCUAUCUGCCGUGGGCGCUGGAGAACUGAGGGGGGCUGCUCCUAGUACGAGAGGACCGGAGUGGACGCAUCACUGGUGUUCGGGUUGUCAUGCCAAUGGCACUGCCCGGUAGCUAAAUGCGGAAGAGAUAAGUGCUGAAAGCAUCUAAGCACGAAACUUGCCCCGAGAUGAGUUCUCCCUGACUCCUUGAGAGUCCUGAAGGAACGUUGAAGACGACGACGUUGAUAGGCCGGGUGUGUAAGCGCAGCGAUGCGUUGAGCUAAC